AAUAGUUAAAGGGCCGCGGUAUUUUGACCGUGCAAAGGUAGCAUAAUCAUUAGUCUUUUAAUUGAAGACUUGUAUGAAUGGUUGGACAAAGGAAAGGCUGUCUUUAUAAUAUUAUUUGAAUUUAACUUUUAAGUGAAAAGGCUUAAAUAAACCAAGGGGACGAUAAGACCCUAUAAAACAUUUUGUUGGGGCGACAUAGAUAUAAAUAGCAACUGUCUAAAUAAAAUACUGUAAAUUUAUGAAUUGACUGGUCCUUUUUAGAGAUUAAAAGAUUUAGUUACUUUAGGGAUAACAGCGUGAUUUUUUUUGAGAGCUCAUAUCGAAAAAAAAGUUUGCGACCUCGAUGUUGAAUUAAAAUAUCUAUAUAGUGUAGUUGUUAUAAAAGAAGGUCUGUUCGACCUUUAAAUUUUU
Molecule: ribosomal RNA, 411 nt
Filed under: Trichodactylus dentatus
Lineage: Eukaryota; Metazoa; Arthropoda; Malacostraca; Decapoda; Trichodactylidae
Description: partial 16S large subunit ribosomal RNA
Rfam family: Bacterial large subunit ribosomal RNA
Source: RNAcentral